UGGGGGAUAUUGCACAAUGGGCGAAAGCCUGAUGCAGCGACGCCGCGUGGGGGAUGAAGGCCUUCGGGUUGUAAACUUCUUUUGCUCUGAACAAGGCAUGCUAAUGGGUGUGUUGAGUGUAGGGGUUGAUUAGCGCCGGCUAACUACGUGCCAGCAGCCGCGGUAAUACGUAGGGCGCGAGCGUUGUCCGGAAUUAUUGGGCGUAAAGGGCUUGUAGGUGGCUGGUUGAGUCUGUCGUGAAAGCUCAUGGCUUAACUGUGGGUUUGCGGUGGGUACGGGCUGGCUUGAGUGGAGUAGAGGAGGCUGGAAUUCCUGGUGUAGCGGUGGAAUGCGCAGAUAUCAGGAGGAAUACCGGUGGCGAAGGCGAGUCUCUGGGCUGUUACUGACACUGAGGAGCGAAAGCAUGGGGAGCGAACAGG
RNAcentral lists this ribosomal RNA (419 nucleotides) under bacterium. Its description in RNAcentral is "partial 16S ribosomal RNA". It matches the Rfam family "Bacterial small subunit ribosomal RNA", at positions 355 to 776 of the family's 1533-position model. The record is from RNAcentral.